Molecule: non-coding RNA, 434 nt
Organism: Peromyscus maniculatus bairdii (prairie deer mouse)
Lineage: Eukaryota; Metazoa; Chordata; Mammalia; Rodentia; Cricetidae
Source: RefSeq, a predicted model, not a curated record
CUAGCCGCCCUCGCUUGGUCCCUUCCUUCUCUGUGCUCUGGCAGCUGGUGAUUUCUUCAUUCUCUCCAUCUGUCAAGAGAAUGGUUGAGGCACACAGUCCCUCAAUUAGAAUGCAAGAGCGGCCACCUCCAUUGCAGUCUGCCUGGGGUCUCAUGGAUCCCAGACUGGCCUCAAACUUUUCAAAUUUGCUGUGUAACCAAGGAUGCCUUUGAAUUUCUAAUCUUUCUACAGGUUCCAUGGGUUGAACCCAGGUCUUCACCUACUGAUCCAUCUCACCAUUCCUCUUUUUUAAAGUGGCUUUCAAGUUAGGCAUGAUGGCUCACCCCUGGAAUCCCACCAUUCAGGAUGCUGAAGCAAGAAGAUCACUGAGUUUGAGGCCAGCCUGGAAGCACAGUGAGUUCCUGGGUUACAGAGACCCUGUCUUAAAAACAAAA